AGCCCCGUGGUGUAGCGGUUAUCAUACCCGGCUUUGGACCGGGUGACCCAGGUUCGAAUCCUGGCGGGGCUA
RNAcentral lists this transfer RNA (72 nucleotides) under Nanobdellota archaeon. RNAcentral's name for it is "tRNA-Gln". It matches the Rfam family "tRNA". Rfam says of the family: Transfer RNA (tRNA) molecules are approximately 80 nucleotides in length. Their secondary structure includes four short double-helical elements and three loops (D, anti-codon, and T loops). Further hydrogen bonds mediate the characteristic L-shaped molecular structure. tRNAs have two regions of fundamental functional importance: the anti-codon, which is responsible for specific mRNA codon recognition, and the 3' end, to which the tRNAs corresponding amino acid is attached (by aminoacyl-tRNA synthetases). tRNAs cope with the degeneracy of the genetic code in two manners: having more than one tRNA (with a specific anti-codon) for a particular amino acid; and 'wobble' base-pairing, i.e. permitting non-standard base-pairing at the 3rd anti-codon position. The record is from RNAcentral. RNAcentral also lists the same sequence under 1 other name. Lineage: Archaea; Nanobdellati; Nanobdellota.